CAGAAACUUGAAGACUGAAAAUGCUAGUGCCAGAAAAGUUGAUCAGACAUCGAGCUGACGAAGCAGUUUCUCGACAAUAUGUGUGUGGCUUGUAAAUGAGAGGCCAAAAUUUAUGCCAAGUGCCCGGGGCAAAGGACAGAGCACGAAGGACGAAGGACGAGGGAGGAAGGACGGGAUGCGUUCUCUAGCACACACUUCCGGCACGAGCACGUCAGACUUGACUUGACUUGAGACUCCAGAAAACUUGGCUACUCUCGUUCUCCCCCACGUUUUCUCUCUCUCUAUCUUUUUCACUUUAGAGCGGGGGCGUAGCAGCACCCCCAGAUGUCUCAGACACGCACAGCCCAGA
Drosophila hydei is the source of this 349-nucleotide long non-coding RNA. RefSeq lists it as uncharacterized. The record is from RefSeq and is a predicted model, not a curated record. The transcript is spliced from 4 exons. NCBI's taxonomy places the organism in Eukaryota, Metazoa, Arthropoda, Insecta, Diptera, Drosophilidae.